RNAcentral lists this microRNA precursor (197 nucleotides) under Oryza sativa Indica Group (long-grained rice). RNAcentral's name for it is "MIR812 microRNA precursor family". It matches the Rfam family "MIR812 microRNA precursor family". The record is from Rfam by way of RNAcentral. Lineage: Eukaryota; Viridiplantae; Streptophyta; Magnoliopsida; Poales; Poaceae.
AAAAAGUUCAUUUUUCAGUUUUUAAAUACAAUAUUUGACUCUUCGUCUUAUUUAAAUUUUUUAUUUUAUGAUUAAUAAUAAUAUUAUUAUUAUUAGAUGAUAAAACAUAAAUGGUACUUUGUGUGUGACUAAUUUUUUUAGUUUCUUUUAAAAAAAUGAAAUAAGAUGGACGGUCAAACGUAGGGCACAGACCUAAA